RNAcentral lists this ribosomal RNA (399 nucleotides) under uncultured bacterium. RNAcentral's name for it is "bacterial SSU rRNA". It matches the Rfam family "Bacterial small subunit ribosomal RNA", at positions 29 to 408 of the family's 1533-position model. The record is from RNAcentral.
AACGAACGCUGGCGGCGUGCCUAACACAUGCAAGUCGAGCGGGAAAGUUCCCUUCGGGGAGCGAGUACAGCGGCGAACGGGUGAGUAACACGUAGGUAACCUACCCUGGAGACUGGGAUAACCUGCCGAAAGGCGGGCUAAUACCAGAUAAGACCACGAGGGCUGCGGCCCUUGAGGUAAAAGAUGGCCUAUGCUUGCAAGCUAUCACUCCGGGAUGGGCCUGCGCGCCAUUAGCUAGUUGGUGAGGUGACGGCUCACCAAGGCCAGAGAUGGCUAGCUGGUCUGAGAGGAUGGCCAGCCACACUGGGACUGAGACACGGCCCAGACUCCUACGGGAGGCAGCAGUGGGGAAUAUUGCGCAAUGGGCGAAAGCCUGACGCAGCGACGCCGCGUGGGUGA